GAUGAACGCUAGCGGCAGGCCUAAUACAUGCAAGUCGAACGAUAGAAGAGGGCUUGCUCUCUUCGAAAGUGGCGCACGGGUGCGUAACGCGUAUGCAACCUACCUUAAGCAGGGGGAUAGCCCGAAGAAAUUCGGAUUAACACCGCAUAAAAUCACAGUACAGCAUUGUACAAUGAUCAAAUAUUUAUAGGAUUAAGAUGGGCAUGCGUGACAUUAGCUAGUUGGCGGGGUAACGGCCCACCAAGGCGACGAUGUCUAGGGGAUCUGAGAGGAUGACCCCCCACACUGGUACUGAGACACGGACCAGACUCCUACGGGAGGCAGCAGUAAGGAAUAUUGGUCAAUGGAGGCAACUCUGAACCAGCCAUGCCGCGUGCAGGAAGACGGCCCUCUGGGUUGUAAACUGCUUUUAUUCGGGAAUAAACCUCAUUAUGUAUAGUGAGCUGAAUGUACCGGAGGAAUAAGGAUCGGCUAACUCCGUGCCAGCCGCCGCGGUAA
Molecule: ribosomal RNA, 498 nt
Filed under: uncultured bacterium
Lineage: Bacteria
Description: partial 16S ribosomal RNA
Rfam family: Bacterial small subunit ribosomal RNA
Source: RNAcentral